Molecule: long non-coding RNA, 681 nt
Filed under: Equus asinus (donkey)
Lineage: Eukaryota; Metazoa; Chordata; Mammalia; Perissodactyla; Equidae
Description: lncRNA (ENSEASG00005029199.1)
Source: RNAcentral
UGUUGCUGUUUCAGAAAGUGAAAUACAUCCAUAAAGAGAAGAUUUACUGCCACUAAGGAUUUUUUUUUAAAAAAAGCUGCUGGGGCCGGCCCAGUGGCUCAGCAGUUAAGUUCGAACGUUCCACUUUGGCAGCCAGGGGUUAGCCGGUUCGGAUCCCGGGUGUGGACAUGGCACCGCUUGACAUGCUAUGCUGUGAAGUCUGGAGCCCUAGGCCGUGUGUUCUUCCAGAGUUGGUACUGGACUGCUGCCGAAUUCACCAGGGGUUUCAUUGAGUUCUGAUUCUUAACCCGUUAGUGUUGGUGUGUCACCAUCCUUACACGUCCUUCUGGUUCUGCUAUGUGGGAUGCUGCCUCAGCAUGGCUGGAUGAGCGGUGCUAGGACCACGCCCAGGAUCUGAAUCGGUGAAACCCUGGGCCGCCGAAGCAGAGGCAUGAACUUAACCACGGGGCGGGCCCAAGGUUUUUUAUUAAAGAGCAGAUUUUUAAGAACCAUAUUAAAAGCAUCAGUGUGUUGGGGGCUUAGUUUAGCUGGAGAGACAGAGAAUGUACAUAGGAUUGAUAAGGAAAACCAUCGCUUCCACCCCUGGAAGUGGAAGGCAGCAGCACUCGCUGUGUACUUCGAUCCCCUCACAUCCCCUAGAGUAGCUGUUUGUGUGGCUGGAAGCCACAGCUUCAUUUGUAG